Pelobates cultripes (western spadefoot toad) is the source of this 466-nucleotide non-coding RNA. The record is from the annotation of a GenBank genome assembly. NCBI's taxonomy places the organism in Eukaryota, Metazoa, Chordata, Amphibia, Anura, Pelobatidae.
CAGUAGAUGAAUGGUCAUUAAUAGCUAUAUAUUCAAGCUGUGGAUAAUCAGGAUUAGGAGAUAAAGUAUACACAUGCUAAGUGAAAUGCCACCAUAUACAGCAUUUGGUUCAGUGCAAUCAGGUAAGUAUAAAUGUAAGUAUAGCGAUUGAGUAGUAAGUAAGCAGGCUAUAAUGCUUAUCAGAUAGCAAGAAAUUAAAACCACUGAAGCCCACUGUAAUGGAGCUUCCUGUACCCCGGUUAGGUACCUGCACCGACGGAUGCUCCUAGUGCUCACUGAGGAAUCUGAGCACUCCUCCAGACACCAUAAGCACUGCAGACCCCACAACUGCCGCAGCUUGGUUGGUGUCUCACUGUCUCCUACCCACCCUGGACCUACGACAAGGCUCUAGGUUCUAGUGGGUGAACCUCUCUUCCUCCAGAGAGUCAAAAAGUAAUAGCUCUUACAAGAGAUCAGAGAAUCCAAG